Molecule: transfer RNA, 71 nt
Filed under: bacterium
Lineage: Bacteria
Description: tRNA-Pro
Rfam family: tRNA
About the family: Transfer RNA (tRNA) molecules are approximately 80 nucleotides in length. Their secondary structure includes four short double-helical elements and three loops (D, anti-codon, and T loops).
Source: RNAcentral
CGGGGAGUAGUAUAUCGGCAGUACACACGCUUCGGGUGCGUGAAGGCCGGGUUCGAUUCCCGGCUCCCCGA